GAUGAACGCUGGCGGCAUGCCUAAUACAUGCAAGUCGAACGAGAGGAAGGAAAGCUUGCUUUUCUGAAUCUAGUGGCGAACGGGUGAGUAACACGUAGGUAACCUGCCCAUGUGCCCGGGAUAACUUCUGGAAACGGAUGCUAAAACCGGAUAGGUAGCAGACAAGCAUUUGACUGCUAUUAAAGUGGCUAAGGCCAUGAACAUGGAUGGACCUGCGGUGCAUUAGCUAGUUGGUGAGGUAACGGCCCACCAAGGCGACGAUGCAUAGCCGGCCUGAGAGGGCGGACGGCCACAUUGGGACUGAGACACGGCCCAAACUCCUACGGGAGGCAGCAGUAGGGAAUUUUCGUCAAUGGGGGGAACCCUGAACGAGCAAUGCCGCGUGAGUGAAGAAGGUCUUCGGAUCGUAAAGCUCUGUUGUAAGAGAAAAACGACAUUCAUAGGGAAUGAUGAGUGAGUGAUGGUAU
Molecule: ribosomal RNA, 467 nt
Filed under: uncultured bacterium
Lineage: Bacteria
Description: bacterial SSU rRNA
Rfam family: Bacterial small subunit ribosomal RNA
Source: RNAcentral